This 200-nucleotide ribosomal RNA is filed under the name uncultured bacterium. RNAcentral's name for it is "partial 16S ribosomal RNA". It matches the Rfam family "Bacterial small subunit ribosomal RNA", at positions 30 to 242 of the family's 1533-position model. The record is from RNAcentral.
AUUGAACGCUGGCGGCAGGCCUAACACAUGCAAGUCGAGCGGGGUUUUCGGACCUAGCGGCGGACGGGUAAGUAAUGCGUAGGAAGCUGCCCGAUAGAGGGGGAUACCAGUUGGAAACGACUGUUAAUACCGCAUAAUGUCUACGGACCAAAGUGUGGGACCUUCGGGCCACAUGCUAUCGGAUGCGCCUACGUGGGAUU